UGGGGAAUAUUGCACAAUGGGCGCAAGCCUGAUGCAGCAACGCCGCGUGAAGGAUGAAGGCCUUCGGGUCGUAAACUUCUGUCCAAAGGGAAGAACAAAUGACGGUACCUUUGGAGGAAGCCCCGGCUAACUACGUGCCAGCAGCCGCGGUAAUACGUAGGGGGCAAGCGUUAUCCGGAAUUACUGGGCGUAAAGAGUGCGUAGGUGGCACUGUAAGCGCAGGGUUUAAGGCAACGGCCCAACCGUUGUUUGCCCUGCGAACUGCAGAGCUUGAGUGCAGGAGGGGAAAGUGGAAUUCCUAGUGUAGCGGUGAAAUGCGUAGAUAUUAGGAGGAACACCGGUGGCGAAGGCGACUUUCUGGACUGUAACUGACACUGAGGCACGAAAGCGUGGGUAGCAAACAGG
This 405-nucleotide ribosomal RNA is filed under the name uncultured prokaryote. Its description in RNAcentral is "bacterial SSU rRNA". It matches the Rfam family "Bacterial small subunit ribosomal RNA", at positions 355 to 776 of the family's 1533-position model. The record is from RNAcentral. RNAcentral also lists the same sequence under 1 other name.